RNAcentral lists this unclassified non-coding RNA (2988 nucleotides) under Hevea brasiliensis (rubber tree). The record is from RNAcentral. Lineage: Eukaryota; Viridiplantae; Streptophyta; Magnoliopsida; Malpighiales; Euphorbiaceae.
GAAAAAAUCACAAGAUUUCAUUACAUGGCAAUUCCAGAAUUGGAUCAUAUAAAUACAGUAGAGAAGUUGAAACUUUUGCAAUACCAUUACAGGCAAAACAGAAACAAAACAGGAAUACUGAUCAAGAAUUUAUACUAAAAUUAUCAAUAAUUUAUACUAAAAUUAACAAGUAAAAAUUAAAUCCAAACCCUUUAUUUCAAAUUUUAAUAUCCAAACAUAACAUAAAAGAAAAAUGAAUUCUCUCCUUUUUCAUGAUGUUUACCAAUGUAUGCAUGUGUAGAUUCCGUAUUCAGCUAUCUUCUCCACUCUGCUCAGCUUAAAAUUUAUGGUUAGUUGUUGCUGGUUUUCAUCCCUGGAUGAUCUUUGUUGUACUUUUCCAUAAGUUGGUUUAGCUCAUUUUCCAACUCUUUUUCCAACUCAAGCAGCUCUUCCCAAUAUCUCUUCAUAAUUGAACUCUUUUUGUCUUCAUGAUUCUCCAUCAGCUUCUUCCUCUCUGCUUCAAAUUCUUCCAUUUCUUUAUCCUGAAUUUUUAUGAAACUAACAAUGUCCUCCAUCCUAUUUGCACAGAGAUUUCAAAAACAAUGCAAGUCGCGUGAGCAUAGAAUUGCACGCAACAAUUUGAACUCCUAGCUAUGGAUUUUUGAUUAAUCAAUACAAUGAUAGGGUAUGCAUUUCUUAACAAGCUAAAAGGAAUUGCACUUAUUCUGACUGAAUGCUUUCUAGCCUAGAUUGUUGUUGUUCAUGUAACUGGUUUACCUACAUCACAAGCAGCUGUUUUUUCUAGGGACAAUGUUAGUUUAGCAUGCUAUAGGGGAGGUACUUACCGACUUGUAUACUUUAUGGUAAAAAGAUUUGCAUUUGACUGCUCAACUUUCUCCCACUUUUCCUGUUGUAACUUCUCAAAAUUAUCUUCUUUUGCAUCAAUAGCUAGAUGUAUAAUUUUUAUUUGAUCCUUGAAAAUUUGUUCUUGGGAAUCCAUCUUCCUUCAGCUGAAAACUGUCAGAAUUGUUGCUUGCAUGUGCUGUUCCUUUUCUUUUUCUUUUUGGACCACAAGUUUAAAUUGUGUAAAGCCUUUUAAUAGUCAAACGUUAGCGUGUAAAACUAUAUCUGCAUAAAACAUAUGCAGAGUAUACACAUGAGUUCUUGAAAUAUAUUUAACACAAAGAAACCAUGAUAAAUAAUAACAUUCUCAUAGGUUCCUUGCAUCUAAUAGAUAUAUCAAUUUAAGCAAAAUACCAGCAUCAUGCCAGAGCACAUGGUAUUAGCGCUUAAGUAGAAGUCACAAUGAAAUCACAACACAUGAUAAUAAUAACAACAAUUUGCAAUAAAAAAAUAUCACCUCUUCCCUGUUUUCUUCAAGCAGCAACUUAGUUCGCUGUCCCAUACCGCAACUCUUUUCUACACUCUUGGGCAGCUCCUUGCUCAAUCUGCUUACUGACUCAGCUAGAACUUUCGAAUGCUUUUGUUCUUGAGCAAUCUUGUCCUUAAACUUGACGAUUUGUUGGCUAUUCUCAUUUAUUUGCUUUAUUUGUCUCUCAACCAUCUCUUGGUAUGACCUCAUCUCAUAUUUCAGCUUGGACCUCCCUUGAGAAUGCAGGUUGAAAAUAUCCAAAUCUUUUUUCAAAGCCAUGUACCCAUAGAGCUGGCGCUUCCCACCUGAACAACAUGAAACUCGAUUACUGUCCCAGGCAUUCCUGUCUCUUCCUUGGUCUUUGAAGUGCUUGUGCAGACGAGCAGCCUCUAAAUAACCAGCUGCUGUGUCAUCAAAAAUCAACAUACUCAUCCCUCUAUGCCCUUGUGGACCAUACGAAUGCCUAGCCUUCAAUGCAGCAUAUGAUUUGAAGUGAUCCAGAAGCUCUUGGUUUCCCAUGCCAAUCCACUUGCCAUUUUCCUCCUGCUCAUAUCUUGUGUUCAUGAUGACAACCAUUGGAGGCCAAACAAUUUCAUAAUCUUUGACUCUCUCAUUUAGACCUUGCCACCUGCCAAAGGCUACACCAAGUGGAGACAGUGAAAGUCCCUUCUUCCGUGUCUCUUCAUCCAAAAGUUCAGCAAAUACGCGAUGGAGCUUUGCCCUUCUUGUCUUUCUCAUCAUGGCAUGAUACAUUAAGGGCUCCAGACCUCGAUACCAGUCAAUGGCACCAGGACCCCCUAUGCAAGCAGGGCAAUGCCACUUUCUUCCCGGUGAAUUCAGCUCCUCAACGGUCAGUUUUUCCAAGUCAUCAAAGAAUCCCUUGAACCAUUUGUUCUUCUUACGCAUUUCGUGGCUCUUUUCACUCGUAUAAAAAUCAAAAUCAUCCUCAGAAAGCUCAUCAUCACUACUGCCAAAUAUCUCCUCUUCGUCAUCACUGUUAUCAACAAUCCCAUUCUUAUCAUCAAUAACGCCACCAUCUUGGCAGUUGGGGAGUUCAUCCUUCUUCCUCUCUUCCCCACCAUUCAACUGAGGGGAACCAACUUGAGUAGUAGUCCCAUUCUGUCCCUGCUUAAUACAGUUGUUCCGUUGAGAAGGAAAGUCAUUUCCAGAGCUGGAGAAAUUCUGGAAACCACCAAUUUGAUUUGUCCUGGCAUUGUCAUAUCUUUGUAUCCCAAGCUUAUGCAUCAAAUUUGGACAUCCCCAUGCACCAGGAACAGAGAUCUGAGGACCACGGCCUUCUGCAGGAAUCUUUCCAUCGUUAUGUGCAGAUUUUCCACUGGCAUUUGCUACAUUUUCACUCGACAACUUAACAUGGCUACCACCAGAACAUUUUCUAUACACACUCCCCAGCCGAGGAAAUGGAUCACCGUUAUCAUCCAUGAUGUGGGUCAUUAACUGCCUUAACCAGAAGCUUUCUUUGUAUCAAAUGCUGUCCUGCAGGUAAUUUCAGUGGAUUGGCACACAGAGGAAUAUCAGCUCUGCCGAUUCAGUCUUCAGAGAUAAAUGUUUCCUUAUAUAAUGGCUUACCGCUAGGAUAAGAAGAAGGAGCUAAAAGAAAAAAAGCUGCUAGAUUCGAG